GAAGUCAAAAGUCAUUAAGAAUGGAUGGCAGAGUUGACUGAUGGGCGUGGGUCUUUGUGGCUGUACCAGCUACAGGCUGUUACCACAGUUACUGGACACCAGGGCAUAGGAUGGAAAUCAGUCCAGGAAUAAAGGGAGCUUGAAGAAUGGACUUCUUCAUGCUCCAUGAUCUUGAACCAGACUAGCUCUGAUAUCUUCCUGUUACCAUGCCCCUCAGCUCCAUCGCACCUCUACCCUCAAACCUUAUGCUUCAGUCAUUUGAGCUGUGGUCACUUCAAAGGACACCUUGGCUGGACCUGGCAUAGUAUUUGCAAUCCGGAAGAGAUUCAACAAAUAUAUGUUAAAGGAAUAUGGACAUCCAUGAUAAUUAUGUUUGCAAUAAUUGCUUGCAGUUAUGCGUGACUCUUUACU
This is a long non-coding RNA of Camelus dromedarius (Arabian camel), 411 nucleotides long. RefSeq lists it as uncharacterized. The record is from RefSeq and is a predicted model, not a curated record. The transcript is spliced from 3 exons. Lineage: Eukaryota; Metazoa; Chordata; Mammalia; Artiodactyla; Camelidae.